Long non-coding RNA from Telopea speciosissima, 151 nucleotides. RefSeq lists it as uncharacterized. The transcript has 3 exons. The record is from RefSeq and is a predicted model, not a curated record. NCBI's taxonomy places the organism in Eukaryota, Viridiplantae, Streptophyta, Magnoliopsida, Proteales, Proteaceae.
GCCUGGUCGUACUUAUAUCCGCAUCAGGUCUCCAAGGUGAACAGCCUCUGGUCAAUGGAACAAUGUAGGCAAGGGAAGUUGGAAAAAUGGAUCCGUAACCUCAGGAAAAGGAUUGGCUCUGAGGGCUGGGCACGGGGAAGGCUCCCGAGGG